RNAcentral lists this ribosomal RNA (253 nucleotides) under uncultured bacterium. RNAcentral's name for it is "partial 16S ribosomal RNA". It matches the Rfam family "Bacterial small subunit ribosomal RNA", at positions 524 to 776 of the family's 1533-position model. The record is from RNAcentral.
UACGAAGGGGGCUAGCGUUGCUCGGAAUCACUGGGCGUAAAGCGCACGUAGGCGGAUCUUUAAGUCAGGGGUGAAAUCCUGGAGCUCAACUCCAGAACUGCCUUUGAUACUGGGGAUCUCGAGUCCGGGAGAGGUGAGUGGAACUGCGAGUGUAGAGGUGAAAUUCGUAGAUAUUCGGAGGAACACCAGUGGCGAAGGCGGCUCACUGGCCCGUUACCGACGCUCAGGCGCGAAAGCGUGGGGAGCAAACAGG